Molecule: long non-coding RNA, 7635 nt
Filed under: Homo sapiens (human)
Lineage: Eukaryota; Metazoa; Chordata; Mammalia; Primates; Hominidae
Description: HSALNT0105447
Source: RNAcentral
AACUCAUUUGGGAUAUGGAGGAGAAUAUGCCACCAGUUCUCCAAAGUGGAGGGGUUUCCGUUCAGCUCUUCAUUCUACCCUUCAACUCCUAUGCAGCCAACCAUCAUACCAGUUGAUUCUAAGUGCUGGGAGCCUCUGUCUACACUUACUCUCCACCUCGCUCAGGCUCCAUAGGCAUGGUGUCUACCUGCUGGCCCAUCCUGGGAAGUCAUCCCAACGUGACAGAAUGGAAAAGAGAGGGCAUGGAAGACUAGUUCAUAGGUAAGGGCAAGAGGGACCUCGCAGAUGGUAAGGUGCUCUGUGGAGAAUCAGUUUGUCCAACUGAUAAACAGAAAACAGUACAAAGAAAUGUGCUAUCACAGAACGAUCUUAAGCACUGGAACCAGUCAGUCCCAGAUUCAAAUCCAGCUCUACCCUUCUCUAGGGAUGGUUUUCUUAUUCUCCAUCUCCUCCCCCUUAAAAUGGGGAUGAUAAUACCUCCUCAUGAGAGGCUGUGAGUAGCUGAUGGGAUAAUUUGUGUAAAUUGGCUAAUAAAGUAUCUGGUAAACAGUAGGGUCCCAAUACAGGAAGCUUGAGAUGGUAUUAAAUCACUGGUCAGGCAAUAGAUGCUCGAGACAGUAUGACAGCCACUAGCCACAUGUGGUUAUUUAAUUUAAAAUUCACUUCCUCAGUUGCACUAGCCACAGGCCAAAUGCGCAAUAGCCACAUGUGGCUAGUGGCUACCAUGGCGGAAAGCAUAGAUAUGGAACAUUUCCAACACCACAGAAAUAGCACUGCUAUUAGCACACCACAGGAUAGCACUGCUCUGGGGUUCUGAAUAAGAGAUACUCCCUGGGUCCAGCAGCACGGAUACUGGUCUGGAACUGCUCCCCUGACCAUAUCAGAGGUAUGUGCCUGUGACUGAAUCAGCUGGUGCUUCACUAGAGACUGUGUCAGACUAUAUGGGCUCCCAAUUCUUUCCUUUGCCUCCCAUUCAGUGCUCACCAGUACUAGAGUGGAUCUUGAUGCUGAUCACCACAAACCCAGGCCUCCCAGCAGAUUCUUUUUUUUUUUUUUUUUUUUUUUUUUGAGAUGAAGUCUCGGUCUGUCACCCAGGCUGGAGUACAGUAGUGGUGUGAUCUCGGCUCACUGCAACCUCUGCCUCCCAGGUUCAAGCUAUUCUUCUGCCUCAGCCUCCUGAGUAUCUGGGAUUACAGGCAUGUGCCACCACACUUGGCUAAUUUUUGUAUUAUUAAUAGAGACAUGGUUUUGCCACAUUGGCCAGGCUGGUCUCGAACUCCUGACCUCAAGUGAUCUGCCCGCCUUAGCCUCCCAAAGUGCUGGGAUUACAGGCGCGAGCCACUACACCUGGCCACAGAUUUUUUAGACCCCUCCUACAGCCAGACUUCUCCCACCAUCUAACUAACCCCUCUCCCUUACCUCCCUGCUCACAAUGCUUAUCCCUCUCCAGCAAAGAGUCUCUGCUCUGGAAGACAUUAUCUCUUCCUGUUCCCUCUACAAUACCUAACCAUCCUAUUCCUUUCUAUGCAUUUGCGUAUUUUCGUUAUUCACAUUGCAGAUGCAUUCCUCAUUUUUCUCUUCCAGCCACACUAUGCUCAGCUUUCCAUUCCAGCUCAAAUUUUUCUUCCCAAAAGCUCUUCCUUGUAAGCCCCGUUCCUGGUGAGUUCCUGGUCCAAGGGGACUGUUCUCCUCAGUUCAUUUACAGCCGUCACUGAAUUGCUCUGCUAAUACUUUAAAGCGUGUUCAGCUUUCCUCACCUGGCUGGGUACCUGCUGAGGAAGAUGUCCCUUCAAUGUUUGGUUGGAGUCUUUUGAAGCAGAACAGACCUAAGACAAAGCUGUGAAAGAGGGCCCCAAAUUAUACCCAGUAUCUCCUCCUUUUACCACUCAUUCUUCCAGAGUUCUCUCCUACCAUAUGUGCCCACCCAGAAUUUGUCCUUGCAAGGACCCUUCAACGCUCACAGCACAGUCUCAUCUUAGCCUGUUCUCUCAGGAUGCAGGUGCUUACUAGCUGGAAAACCAGUUGAUGCUACUGGGUGUGGACUGGUUUAAACCAGCGGUUCUCAACCCUGGGGCUACACACUGGAAUUCCCUGGGGGUUUUGAAAAAAAUGUGAAUGUACAGAUGUCCCCUAGACCAGCUGAAUCAGGAUCUCCAGGGUGAGGCUGUGGCUACUAUCUGUCUUCCUUUCCCAAGGUAAUGCCAAUAAACUAUUUGCCCAAGCUGGGAAGAGACCAGGGCAGCCACAUGACAGAGUAGUUAAGAGAGAGGUUCUGGAGCAACAUUGUCAGUUCAAUUGCUAGCUCUACCUGUGUCUGUGUGGUCCUGGGCCAGCCUCUGAACUUACCUGUUCCCUCCUCUGUAUGUGGGAAUAAUAUUCAUCAUAGUACCUCCCCAUGGGGCUUCCAGGAACAUCAGUUGAAUUAAUACCCAUCAAGUACUUAACACCACAGUGUGGGCAUAUAGAAAGUGCUCAACAAAGGUUUGCUAUUUUUUUCUUUCUUUUUGAAACAGAGACAGGGUCUUGCUCUGCUUAUCCAGGCAGGAAUGCAAUGGCAUGAACAUAGCUCACUGCAACCUCGAAAUCCUGGGCUCAAGUGAUCCUCCCACCUCAGCCUACUGAGUAACUGGGACUAUAUGCGCGUGGCAUCAUGCUCAGCCAAUUUUUUAAAAUUUUUAGAGGCAGGGUCUUGCUAUGUUGCCCAAGCUGGUCUCGAACUCCUGGAUUUGAACGACCCUCUCAUGUCAGCCUCCCAAAGUGCUGGUAUUACAGGUGUGAGUCGCCAUGCCUAGCCAAGGUUUGCUACUAUUAUUCCUUCUCUCCAACCUUCUCCCUGUAUUCUUUCUGAACUCCCUUUCCCUAUCAAAGCCCCAUUUCAGGCCUGGUGUGGGGAAAUGCAGCACCAGGUGAGCAUGUGUUGGUGGGGAGGAUUUGGGGAGACACAUCCCCACUGCUUACUCUACCUGUGCUGGGAACUGCACAAAGAAUGGGGGUGAAGUGGGUGAGAGGCCAGUUGGGAACCCAAAAGCUGUCCUCUACAAUUCUUUUUGAAGGCUAGGGAGAUCCCACUCCUACUUCAGGCCAUGCAUUGGAACCAAAGUUGAGGUGGGGGAGAGUGGUGGCUGCACAGAUACCAUAGACAAGCCAAGACCUCCCUGCCUCGCCCUGUCCUGGCAUGAAGGCACAGGUCUGUAACUACAGCAGCUUUUCCCAGUACCAUCUGACAUUUCUUCUGAAUUUGCUUUAGCGCCUAGCAGAGCACUCCAUAAACUCUCCUAAAGUAGGUAGGAAGGGUAGGAUGGGGUAUGGGAUAUGAGGGUCAGAGGGUCAGACCAGAAAGGGUGGAUUAUUAUAAAACAAGUAGUCCUAAGAUUCUGAGGAUGGGCAGGUGUACCCUAAAAGGGAAGCAGUGGGAUUCCCAAGUAAAUACUUCAUCUACUUCACAAGUUUGCCCAAGCCCAGCUCAGGAACAGUAACAAAUGGAAAUGAGCAGGGAUGCCGGCUGUGGACAAGCAGACCCCCUAGGUAGAGUCCACCCCACCUUCCCAUUACCACAGGAAUUAUUACCUUACCACCCAUAGGGGAGGGGGUAAUUGUGGGCAAAUUUGAUGGGCCCAGUGGGACAGUCAGAAACAGCCUGCCUAGAGCCCUAAUGUACCCACCCACAUAGCUGUGACAUCCUCAGCCCAGCCAGGCUAGCCCAGGAUAUAUGGUGUGUGUAGCGCACUCUGCUAUUUUCCUCUCCUUGAAUGUCCUUGAGGACCCAGUUCAGGUGCCUCUGCUGGGACACUCCCUGUGACACUACCAGCCUUCUCUGAUCUACUCUUUCUCUUGACUCCUAAGACUUACUGUCAGGCUCUCUGGUCACCUGAUCAAUCCCAGGCUUGUGAUACCUCAUAUGCUACCUUGUACCAUUAUUUAACUUUUAGUUCAUGUGUAUAAUUUUCCUACUGAAGCAGUAGGAGCUUGAGGCCAUGGCUCCUAAAGCUUUGAAACCCAUGCAGCAACUGAAAUAGAGCUCAGCAUUCAUUCAUUCACUCACUCACUCAAUAGUUAUUGAGCACCUCCAACAUGCGAAGCACCGUGCUAGGUGCUGGGGAUUUGGCAGUGAACCAGAGAUGAAUUCUACAUUGAAGCCACUUAGUAAAUAUUUGUUAAACAGAUAGACGAGUGGAUGGAGACAUGGAUGCAUUAGUAGUGAGUGGAUAAUGUCUCUAUCUGUGGCAUCCCUUCUGCUCUAUGUUACCUCAGAGAAAAAUCUCACUUCUUUACUCUCCGUGAUCCCACAACUGUUCUGGAUGGGGGAAGUCCCAGGAAGUUUAGUCUCAAGUGGAGAGUAGGGAGAGAGGAAACUAAAUUCAGAGGGGUAGUACCCACUUAAAGGCAUCCAUAUGAUGAGUGCUGGGGCCAGAAGAGACUGGAACCAAUGAGUCAUAGGGUCUCAGGGUCUUCAGACAUCAUAUGGGGCUGCUACAGGGAUCUUUUCAGAGCAUCCCCUUCAACAGAUGUUCCUCAGCCUCCAUGCUAACUCUCAAUGAUGGGGCACCUGACACAGGCAUUCCACUGCUUGCCCCUGGUGAUUUCCCUCAUUCUCACCUCUAAGUAACAUCCAAAAUAAAACCAGCCCAGCCUUGGGCCAUGAUAUCCUAACCCACAGCAUGUGCACAUGUACCCACAUCUGCAUAUCUGCUCUACCUCCAGAUCAAAAUAGCAACCAGGGAGAUUGGCAGAGCCUGGAGUACCAGGCUGUCUUCCCAGUUUGGGACUGGCUGAGGCACUGUGACUUCAGUGAGAGUCUGGGCCCAUCCUCAGUCUAGAAAAAGCUUAUGCAAGGAUGAGGGUAGCCUAGAGAAAGUCCAGAAAACCACACAAAUGACCACCUGUUGAUUCCAAGGCGGAGACAGAGCACUUUCUCCUUUUAAAAACAGUAUCCUCUCCUCUCACUCAAGCUUAGCCUGCUCAACUGAACAGCCAGGAAAAGCUGCUGGUGUUUGGUGAUUUGAAGGGAAGGGGGUCUGAACCUCAGAAGCUUGUCACUUACUGGGGACCCUGAUGAGUUUCUCUCUGUUGUCCUGCCUUAUCCCUAAUCUAGCUCCCUGAUCAUUUGAAUGUAACCCUAAUUGGACAAGAAUUUUCUCCCUUUCAGUAUGGACAAAAUCAACAACCAUGAAUCAGAGACUUUUAGAGGAUGGGUAGUGAAGUGGGGGAAGAACAGAACAUUGUAGAGUGAGGGGCAGAGAGGCAGGCAGUGGGCAUGGGUAGGUUCUGGUUUUGUGAUUAGUAAUAUUAUCUCUUUAAUUGAAAAAAAUAAACUCAUUUCAGAUUCGUAUAAUUUCACUAAGUGUACAGUUUUUUCAUGCAGGUUGGUUCACGUGGUCUUCAAACUGUCCUCUCUCAUCUGGGGCCCAGUGAGGAUACCUCAGGAAAGAGCAAGUAGCUAGUGUAAAGCCAGGAUCCAGGUCUUCAAACUCCCAGUCCAGUGCUCUCUAACUACCCACUGUGUUCUCUAAGCACUUGAGGGAGGAAUCCAUGCCUUAGUCAUUAUUGUACCUCCCCCAACUCCACCUCAGCACUUAGUUCAGCAUGAAGCAUGCAUCCAGUAUAUAACCGUGGAGCGGAAGGAGCUGAAAUGUACAUGAUCCAGGGAGGAAAUCAGCAGUGGGAAUGCAGAUGCUCUGAGGCUUUGGGCAUGGGAGCAGCAGAAGAGAGCAAGGCUGAGUAGUGGGCAGGGAGGGUACAGACACAGUUGCAAUAAGGAAAGGGUGGGCAAUGCAACAGUGGGCAGGUGUUGCCUGCCCUUGGAUUCACUAUGCUGGGGCCAAGCAGCUGGUUAGAAACAAAAACAAACACCAGGGAUACAGGUUCCUGCUGUUAACAGCUUCAAACCGCCAGAGGAAAACUCCAAAUAAAUAUAAUUAGAAACUUGUAAAAACGUCCUCUCUGUAAACCUGCUCCCCAGGGUCUACCCUUCAAGCACUCCCCUUCCCCAGCCCUCCCCCCAAUGCCCACAUAUCCUGAUACUCCCCACUUUCAGAGGGAUUCCUUAGAUGUGUUUCCUUAUCCUGGAUCUUCCCUCCAGCCCUGCAGCCCCUGCCCAGGUCUUUCCUCAGCUUGUUACCACCAGUGACCAGACCUGAAGAGCCCCUGGUGUAGGCUCAGAAAUCCAAACCCCACAGCUCUCUAGGGCUAUGGUUAUAACCACAGGGAAAACCAGAGGUAAGAGCAAGGACCACUGUGCCCUAUAUAGGGGUCAUCAUCCCAUUUGUUCAGCCAAAGCACAGCAUCUAACAGCAACUACAAAGCAGUGCUUGAUCUGCAGGGGGACAUGUCUAGGCUAGGGCAGAAUACAGACAGCUAGUCUCAGAGCUAGAAACACGGAAUCCUGGGGCCCAGAUCCAAGAAUAUUCAGUUCCCAUAACACGGAUAUUUCAGCUCCACUUCCCAACUUUGUUGGAUACACACAUAUAGAAACACACAUGUGUUCUUCAGGGGCUAUUUCCAGGGAUAAAUACCCACUUCAUGGACACAGUAAGAACUAUCAGCUACUUGGGGUUCCAGGAAACUGGGGUGGGGGAAGAAAGGAAGAGUAUCCAGAUGACCUAGCCUCAGGCAGGCAGAAGUGGACCAGCAUCCAAGGAGGAGAGCGCCUGAGAUUUGGGUGAGUAACCUGUGGAGGCCCGGCGCCUUCUGCCUUCAGCAGGAAGGAUUUCAGUGAGAUGUGCAGAAUCUCAGGGCUGCAGGGAACCCUACUGAUAUUUUACAAGUGAGAAGAGGGAUUUCAGUGAUUUCCUCCGAGGCUCAAAUCCUUAGGCUCUGCAUUUGUCUAAACCCACUGGCACCAUAUACCUCUAUAUCCCCGGUGCCACUUGAGGCUGGCAUUGGGUGGGCAUAGGAACAGGAGAGUAGCCAGUCCAAUGUUAAGUGGCCAGUGGGGGAGGGGAGUCUCUGUCCCCUCUUAGCCCAGGUGACUAGCUCCUGUACCCCCUAGACAUCCCUGGGUUGGCCGUUGUUUCGCUUCUAUACCCAAGGCCCAGCAGUCCUUCUGUUUCCAGACUCCAGUCUUCUGAGCCUGAAGAAGCUGUCCCCAGGUCUGGGCCUCUUGCAGGCACUGCCAGCCUCAGAGCAGCUCUGCAGUUUCCAGCCCUGACAGGGACUCUUUCUUAUAAGUGGUCAUGUGCUAGGGAUACGGGAUGUCAAAGGAGGCCCACACCCUGACAUUUGGGGACCAGAGCUGGGGGAAAGGACUGAGUGAGUUCAGGCAGCAAGCUCUUCCAGCUCCAUCUUCUCAAAAGGUCUGAAGCCCUUCGUUCCCUUCCCCUGUCCUCAGUUCAAGGCACUGGACCAAGCCAUUCCACUUCUUUACUUCUCCAACUAAAACAAAAUGCAUAUUGCCCCACUUCCUUUUUCCUCUCACCAGAGCACUUCACACACACACACACCCUGAGUCAUGCACACACAUUCACACGUGUGUGAAUGCACACUUCACAUUCCCAAACUCACACCCAGGGCCGGCUCCUCUUACAACAGGUCCCAGCUGCUCACAUCUCAAACCGGUUCUCAUGCUCUCAGAUUCCUGAAGGUUUCAAAAAACAAUCUCAUUUGAGGGCUGCUGAUGACUGUCUUCUUUCUCUGCCU